GGCUAUCGGGCAGCCGCCGAACCAGUUCAGAGAUCGCCGCUGUUUCGGUUCAGCCGUUCCUCCUUCGGUUCGUGUUGCUUUGGUUAUUGCGAAAGUGGCUGGGAGCUGAGGUUUUGGUUGCCGUCAGUUCGGGUUGAGCCGGAAAGGACUCUAUGAGACGUUUGGAUUAUGGAAUUGCGUUUUGAGGUAGGGGCGCUUUC
Arachis ipaensis is the source of this 200-nucleotide non-coding RNA. The record is from RefSeq and is a predicted model, not a curated record. NCBI's taxonomy places the organism in Eukaryota, Viridiplantae, Streptophyta, Magnoliopsida, Fabales, Fabaceae.